RNAcentral lists this ribosomal RNA (1059 nucleotides) under Triticum aestivum (bread wheat). RNAcentral describes it as "partial small subunit ribosomal RNA". Lineage: Eukaryota; Viridiplantae; Streptophyta; Magnoliopsida; Poales; Poaceae. The record is from RNAcentral.
AUGUCACUCAUGACCAUUGCCACUUCCGUAGCCCUUGCUUUGUGCUUCGCCCCUGCUCCGUUUGUGGCGGCGACAGUCUCGGCACGGCGUCAGCUGCGAGGCCGCGACACGCUGGUAUCGGCACAGCGCAAGUUCGAGCUCGGCCUCUUCAGCCCCGCUGGCAGCUCCGACGGCAGGUUCUACCUCGGAAUAUGGUACAAGAACAUCCCCGGUCAGACCGUCAUCUGGGUCGGCAACCGCGCGACCCCCCUGUCCGGCGUCGCCUCCGCCGAGCUCCGGGUGUCCGCCGACGAUGGCAACAUCGAGCUCGUCGGUCCCACCAGCGCCUCGGCCUCGCCGGUCGUCGUGUGGUCUUCGAACCUCUCGUCUUCAUCCUUGUCGUCGCCGGGCUCCAACACAGCGGAGAUCCGCGACGACGGCAAUCUGGUCCUUGUCGACGGCGGCAACUCCUCCAACGUGCUGUGGCAGAGCUUCGACCACCCGACGGACACACACGUGCCAGGGGCGUGGAUCGGCGAGAACAAGCUCACCAGCGAGUACCAGACGCUGACGUCGUGGCGGAAUUCCCAAGACCCCGCGCCGGGGAUGUUCACCGACAUGAUAGACCCCAACGGCACCAGCGAGUUCUUCUACAUGUGGAACCGUUCCCGUGCGUACUGGCGGAGCGGCGUCUGGACGGGGCAAGUCUUCGAGAGGCUGCCAGACGCGACGAGGAGCAUCACGUCGUACGAGGAGACGUCGGCGUACCGGCGUCUCACCAACGUCAUCACGGACAACACGACCAUCACGCGCUUGGUGCUCGAUCUAACCGGACAAGCGAAGCUGUACAUCUGGGUGCCCGCGAGACAGAGCUGGCGCUCACCAUGCAGUGUGAAGUGUACGCGCUCUGCGGCGUGUUCAGCAUCUGUGAACAGAGGAGCCAACUGCCAUGCCGGUGCCCGCCCGGGUUCGCUCCGGUGUCGGAGGAGGACUGGACACUCAACGACUGGAGCGGUGGCUGUCGCCGGAGCUCGCCGCUCACAUGCGCGCACAACGGGUCGACGAAUGACGGGUUCUUAG